AAAUUCUCCUGGCGGCCUCCGUUCAGACGCGGCAGCUGUGACCCACCUGCCUCCUCCGCAGAGCAAUGGCGGUGUCUGCCGGGUCCGCGCGGACCUCGCCCAGCUCAGGGUUCUUGAUGGUGCUAGACAUUCCCCAGGAGCGGGGGCUCAGCUCUCUGGACCGGAAAUACCUUGAUGGGCUGGAUGUGUGCCGCUUCCCCUUGCUGGAUGCCCUACGCCCACUGCCACUUGACUGGAUGUAUCUUGUCUACACCAUCAUGUUUCUGGGUGAGGGGAACUGUGGGAAAUAUUGACUGGCCUGCCAGAAACACAGAAAUAGAAGCAUGCUGGUGAAUGGUCAAAGUCUUUGGCACCUUAUUUCACUUCUGCUGUGAUCAAUUUCAUGCUGUUGACCUGUGUGUCACUUAAGCUGUGAUCCCAUAAUUCUUUUUAAAAUAUUAAAAUAACAUUUAAUUUUCAUUUAGUUUUAUGUGAUUAUACAAUGCUUGAUUUUUCUUAAUUCCAACCAUAUCCUGGUCCAGGGAAACUGGGCCUGUGGUGAUCUCUUGACCUCUUAAUCCUCUCCCUACAAAUCCCAGGGGCACUGGGCAUGAUGCUGGG
Molecule: long non-coding RNA, 600 nt
Filed under: Homo sapiens (human)
Lineage: Eukaryota; Metazoa; Chordata; Mammalia; Primates; Hominidae
Description: non-protein coding lnc-TMEM150A-5:2
Source: RNAcentral